AGAGGGAUUGCUGGGUCAAAUGGUGGUUUCAUUCCCAGAUUUCCAAGGAAUUUUCACACUGCUUUCCAAAUUGGCUGCACCAAUUUGCAGUCCCACCAGGAAU
Molecule: microRNA precursor, 103 nt
Filed under: Marmota monax (woodchuck)
Lineage: Eukaryota; Metazoa; Chordata; Mammalia; Rodentia; Sciuridae
Source: RNAcentral